Molecule: non-coding RNA, 249 nt
Filed under: Weissella cibaria
Lineage: Bacteria; Bacillati; Bacillota; Bacilli; Lactobacillales; Lactobacillaceae
Description: T-box sequence
Rfam family: T-box leader
About the family: Uncharged tRNA acts as the effector for transcription antitermination of genes in the T-box leader family. T-boxes are found upstream of many aminoacyl-tRNA synthetase genes and some amino acid biosynthetic genes usually in Gram-positive bacteria. The anticodon of a specific tRNA base pairs to a specifier sequence within the T-box motif, and the NCCA acceptor tail of the tRNA base pairs to a conserved bulge in the T-box antiterminator hairpin.
Source: RNAcentral
GUAUCGACUAAGAAGAGAUAAGUACUUUUUAACGGUUGCCCAGAGAGUUAGCGUGUGGUGCGAGCUAAUCGACUGAAGAAUUGGAAAAUGGUCUUGGAGUUGGAAUGACGUGAGCAAAACGUGUUAGCGUCAUUCGGGUGCGCCCGUUAUUGCGCUUAGAUAUCGUCCGACAUAGGACCGUAUUGAAAGAGGGUUAUUUCGUAUGGAAAUAACUAAACCCGGGUGGUAACACGUGUCAACGUCCCGUAG